Molecule: non-coding RNA, 208 nt
Organism: Nematostella vectensis (starlet sea anemone)
Lineage: Eukaryota; Metazoa; Cnidaria; Anthozoa; Actiniaria; Edwardsiidae
Source: Rfam
CCCUUCUCUUCAAAAGCACCACAUUUCAACUGUAACCAGUGCACUUUGAUCCUACUGACUUUGUCAGAGGAUUCGAAGAACGCUGGACGAGUAAUGAGAAUGUUGGCCGUCAAGAGAAGGAGAGCAUCGCAGUUUAAAUGGGUGAGACCAAGGAGGGCCUCUUUCUUAAUGUCCAAUGUCUUGUGUCUCAAUCCAAACUGCCACAUAA